Pelobates cultripes (western spadefoot toad) is the source of this 324-nucleotide non-coding RNA. The record is from the annotation of a GenBank genome assembly. Lineage: Eukaryota; Metazoa; Chordata; Amphibia; Anura; Pelobatidae.
AUCCUUGACACUUUUCAAGUUUCCCUUUCCUCUUUUCAUCCCUCCUUUCAAGCCCCCUUUUUUACUCAGCUCUCCCUAUAUCUGACGCCGACAUUAAAAUAUAUUUCACAAAACAAUGAACUGAAGCAAUAACUAUAGAACAAUUUGACAAAUGAAAUACAAAAAUCAAUGGAGGACGUCAAAAGGUUGUUAAAGAAAAACAAGUUGUUUGUUGGAAACAAUACGUUUCGCACAAAAGGGAUUUGUUUAGAAAAGGGGAUAGGGGUAAAUUGAAGGCCAAGAGGAAGAAGGGUCAGAGAUAUAGAAAAAUAGAGCAAGAUGGAG